RNAcentral lists this small RNA (691 nucleotides) under Pongo abelii (Sumatran orangutan). Its description in RNAcentral is "retained intron". Lineage: Eukaryota; Metazoa; Chordata; Mammalia; Primates; Hominidae. The record is from RNAcentral.
UUUGUCUCCUAGUUUUUGAGGUUCUGAUUUGAGGUGAUUUUCAUAUCCUUAAGAGCACACUUAAGCAGAUUUUCCUGUAUUGAGAGUUGUUAAUUUUCUUGUUGUUCCAGGGUGGGUUUUUCUCUGAUGUGUGUGGGGCCCCCAUUUUCUGACUCUUCUCUGACUUUCCCGUGGCUCUGGAUGGCUUUACCGCCUCUGUCCCUUCGCCCUGGUGGGGUCGGGCCCCGGCUCAGUGGUCCCAGGCAGCUCGGGUGUCGGAACCCCCAGACAGUUCACGCGACAAAGAAUCACGCGGGUCAACCUCAGGGACCUCAUAUUUUGUUUAGAAAAUGAACGUGAGACAAGCCAUUCACUGCUGCUCUACAAAGCAUUCCUUAAGUGACACAGGAGGACGCCUGGGGACUUUUUAUAUAUUUGCAGAUUACGCCUUUUUGUAACAAGCAAAUGGGAUAUUGUUUAAAAAACAGCCGCCUCUUUACAAUGGAACAGUUUUAUAUUCCUGUUUCUAAAUCAACUCUUCAGUGUGAAAGAAAAUACGUUUCUGUAACAGAGAGAACACAAAGGCCUGUGGAUACUCUUAAAGGACAAUUAAAUCUUAACUCAUCUUGAUUGAGUGGCCUUCUUGCCAAACAAGCCAUAUAUAAAGACUGAUGGAAUCGUUAGCAAAUAAUUAGCUGCCCUCUGUCAACUC